AAAGGCAGUGGUAUAGAAAAAGUUACAAAGGAAGAGUGUUUAGAAUAAGAAAAAAGAGAGGAGGAUUGAAUUGUGAAACAAAUAUCAAUAUUUACAGAGAGAGGAAGGAAGAUCAACAGUGGAUAAAAGCCAGAAAGAAUGGUGUCACCGCAGCCAAGGGAAAGGAGAAAACAAAUUCUACGGAGAUUAAGCAAGGACUGAAAAAUAUUAGAAUUUUCAACCAAGAAGACUUUGCCAUAUCCCAGUGACCUGGGGAUCAUAGUUCCAAAGAAGACGUUGGGAUGCAGAUCCAAUUGCUAUGGACCAAAGAAUAAAUGGGACAAGCGGAAGUGGAGAGUUCUCAUUUGGAGAUGAUAUGAAGAUGGUAGGGGAUGUGGUCCCAUCUGCAGUGAAGGAAAACAUCACCAAUUUACAGAGGAAAUCGGAUCACUGGUUAAAGAUUACCCUUCACUGACCAGCCUUACAAAAAAAAGAAAAUUACCCUUCAUGACCCAACCGACAUAACAUAU
This is a long non-coding RNA of Propithecus coquereli (Coquerel's sifaka), 509 nucleotides long. RefSeq lists it as uncharacterized. The record is from RefSeq and is a predicted model, not a curated record. NCBI's taxonomy places the organism in Eukaryota, Metazoa, Chordata, Mammalia, Primates, Indriidae. The transcript is spliced from 3 exons.